UUAUGAGCCUGUGAACUUACUAAGCUUUCUGUAAGCUUACUGGUGUGUGCCUACUGUUUCUUGUAGAUUGACGUGUAUAUAUAUAUUUCGGAGGAUCGGAUCUACAACAACGAUCACACUAUCCAGAUUUACUCCGGUAGAUUUUGUUAAACAACUUUUUGGAUUUAUAUUGCAUGUAUAGGGAAUUGAAGUAAAAAAGUAUUAGUAUGAAUGACUAAGUAUGCAAAAUAAAUUUGAAUGUUAUGGUUGUGUUAGAU
Molecule: long non-coding RNA, 257 nt
Filed under: Gossypium barbadense (sea-island cotton)
Lineage: Eukaryota; Viridiplantae; Streptophyta; Magnoliopsida; Malvales; Malvaceae
Description: long non-coding RNA (GBAR_LNC020630)
Source: RNAcentral